Non-coding RNA from Chryseobacterium sp., 89 nucleotides. The record is from Rfam. NCBI's taxonomy places the organism in Bacteria, Pseudomonadati, Bacteroidota, Flavobacteriia, Flavobacteriales, Weeksellaceae.
CAUUAGCCCCGAUUGCAGCGACAUCCUUUUUUUGCGAUGGCUUGAAAAAAGCAAAGGCAAAAAAGAUAUAGCGGAAAGCGGGAAAUAGC